This 253-nucleotide ribosomal RNA is filed under the name uncultured bacterium. Its description in RNAcentral is "partial 16S ribosomal RNA". It matches the Rfam family "Bacterial small subunit ribosomal RNA", at positions 524 to 776 of the family's 1533-position model. The record is from RNAcentral.
UACGUAGGGCGCAAGCGUUGUCCGGAAUUAUUGGGCGUAAAGAGCUCGUAGGCGGUUUGUCGCGUCUGCCGUGAAAGUCCGGGGCUCAACUCCGGAUCUGCGGUGGGUACGGGCAGACUAGAGUGUGGUAGGGGAGACUGGAAUUCCUGGUGUAGCGGUGAAAUGCGCAGAUAUCAGGAGGAACACCGAUGGCGAAGGCAGGUCUCUGGGCCACUACUGACGCUGAGAAGCGAAAGCGUGGGGAGCGAACAGG